Molecule: ribosomal RNA, 388 nt
Filed under: Biecheleria sp.
Lineage: Eukaryota; Dinophyceae; Suessiales; Biecheleriaceae
Description: partial small subunit ribosomal RNA
Rfam family: Eukaryotic small subunit ribosomal RNA
Source: RNAcentral
AUUCCAGCUCCAAUAGCGUAUAUUAAAGUUGUUGCGGUUAAAAAGCUCGUAGUUGGAUUUCUGCCGAGGAUGACCGGUCCGCCCUGUGGGUGUGCAUCUGGCUCAGCCUUGGCAUCUUCCUGAAGAACGUAGCUGCACUUGACUGUGUGGUGCGGUAUUUAGGACAUUUACUUUGAGGAAAUUAGAGUGUUUCAAGCAAGCGCACGCUUUGAAUACAUUAGCAUGGAAUAAUAAGAUAGGACUUCGGAACUAUUUUGUUGGUUUGCGUUACGAAGUAAUGAUUAAUAGGGACAGUUGGGGGUAUUCGUAUUUCAUUGUCAGAGGUGAAAUUCUUGGAUUUCUGAAAGACGAACUACUGCGAAAGCAUUUACCAAGGAUGUUUUCAUCG